Molecule: long non-coding RNA, 858 nt
Filed under: Junco hyemalis (dark-eyed junco)
Lineage: Eukaryota; Metazoa; Chordata; Aves; Passeriformes; Passerellidae
Description: lncRNA (ENSJHYG00000007580.1)
Source: RNAcentral
CUCAGGUGAGCCAGGCGCAGGUGAGCCCCGCAGGUGCGGAGGCGGCUCGGGCACGCUGCGAGGGUUCCUCGGCCACCUGUGGAGCCGCUCCCGCCUCUACCGGGCGGCUCCGCGGGUGCGGGGAGCGCUCGCUCGGGGGACGGGGCCGUUCUCCCCCGGCCCUGGGGCAGCCGGGGCGGGCGAUCCGGGGAGAGCCCGAGCGGAGCCCGGCGGAGCGGCCGCGGAUCAGCACCACGGACAGCGCCCGGCGGGGCCGCACCGGGACGCGAGCCCCGCACCGGGACCGGCACCGCGGGCAGGACUCUCCCGGGACAUCACCGCCCACCGGAGGCACCGAGGCGGCGCUGGAUGCUCGCCGGGCCGGUUCUCACCCAGCGCUGACGAUGGCGGGCUCAGAGCUCUGGGCAGGUUGUGUGUGACCUCAGGAGGGGCUGCACAGGCAGGAAUGAACCCCGUUCCCUGGGAGGAAUCCCCAGGGUCCCAGCAGGAUGCAUUAACAGCACGUCUCUCCAGUGAGCCGUGAUGGGAACAGCACGGAGCAAAAAAAAAAGCAGUUUUCCUUUUUGUUAACACGAACAGAGAAGCGGAGAAGCGAUCUCUCGAAGGAUCCUGGCUGGCAACAGCAUCACCAUCUGACUGGAGAGAGAACUCAGCCACACGCAUAAUCCUGGGGAAAAUUCAUCUCCACCCUCCCGCAGACCCCGGUGAGAGCCCUUGAAGUGGUAAUUAAAGUCUAUUGAGUGGCAACUGCACCUGUUUAGAGAGGAGAGUGCGGGUAAGAGGUGCACAAAGGGAGAUGAGCAGCGCGCAGAGAGGAGCUGCUGGAGGUGGGGAGGAGGAGAAGUGGAAAGAAGGGGG